AUGUCUUGGCACCAGGAGCCGAUGAAUGACGUUGGAGCCUGCGAUAAUCCUCGGGGAGCCGGCAACCGGGCUGUGAUCCGAGGGUGUCCGAAUGGGGAAACCCGGCACCCGUCAUGGGGUGUCGUCCCUGCCUGAAUGCAUAGGGCAGCGGAUGGUAACGCGGGGAAGUGAAACAUCUCAGUACCCGCAGGAAGAGAAAGCAACAGCGAUUCCCUGAGUAGUGGUGAGCGGAAGGGGAUGAGGCUAAACCUCGUGCGCGUGAGAGCCGGCAGGCGUUGCGCUCGGGGGGUUGCGGGACCGUCUUGCCAGUGCUGCCGUGCUGGCGGGGAGUGAGAAAAUCGCGUGGCAGCCGAACGGCCUGGAAAGGCCGGCCGCAGGGGGUGACAGUCCCGUAGGCGACGCUGCGCGGUCUCCCUGGGCGUGUUCCCGAGUAGCACGGAGCCCGUGGAAUUCCGUGUGAAUCCGGGAGGACCACCUCCUAAGCCUGAAUACUCCCUGGUGACCGAUAGUGAACUAGUACCGUGAGGGAAAGGUGAAAAGUGCCCCGGUGAGGGGUCGUGAAAUAGUACCUGAAACCGUGUGCCUACAAGCCGCAGGAGCGUUGCCUCCCGUUCGCGGGGGGCGUGAGUGUGACUGCGUGCCUUUUGAAGAAUGAGCCUGCGAGUCACGGUGCGUGGCGAGGUUAACCCGUUGGGGGGCAGCCGUAGUGAAAGCGAGCCUGAACAGGGCGGAGAGUCGCGUGCCGUGGACCCGAAGCGGGGUGAUCUACGCAUGGGCAGGGUGAAGCGCGGGUAAGACCGCGUGGAGGCCCGGACCCACCAGGGUUGAAAACCUGGGGGAUGACCUGUGCGUAGGGGUGAAAGGCCAAUCAAACUCCGUGAUAGCUGGUUCUCCCCGAAAUGCAUUUAGGUGCAGCGUCGCGUGUUCCUUCCCGGAGGUAAAGCUACCGGUUGGCCUAGGGGGCCUGGCGGCUUACUGAAGUCAGCCGAACUCUGAAUGCCGGGAAGCUGAGCGCGGCAGUGAGACUGCGGGCGAUAAGGUUCGCGGUCGAGAGGGAAACAGCCCGGACCGCCGGCUAAGGCCCCUAAGCGCGUGCUAAGUGGGAAAGGAUGUGGAGUUGCAGUGACAACCAGGAGGUUGGCUUAGAAGCAGCCAUCCUUGAAAGAGUGCGUAAUAGCUCACUGGUCAAGUGAUUCCGCGCCGACAAUGUAGCGGGGCUCAAGCACGCCGCCGAAGCCGCGGCGCCUCGUCUCCUGCGGGGGGCGGGGCGGGUAGGGGAGCGUCGCGCGGGCGGUGAAGCGGCGGGGUGACCCGGCCGUGGAGCGCGCGCGAGCGAGAAUGCAGGCAUGAGUAGCGAACGGAACGUGGGAAACGUUCCCGCCGGAUGACCAAGGGUUCCUGGGGCAGGCUGAUCCGCCCAGGGUAAGUCAGGGCCUAAGGCGAGGCCGACAGGCGUAGUCGAUGGAUAACGGGUUGAUAUUCCCGUACCCGCGCGCGGCCGUCCAUGCUGAAUCAGUGAUGCUGAGCGCGGCGGCUUCCGGUGUCCUUCGGGAUGGCGGGGGGCGCGGCGCGGACCGAUCUGGUAGUAGGCAAGCCGAUGGAGGGACGCAGGAAGGUAGCUCUACCGGGCGGUGGUCGUCCCGGGGUAAGGGCGUAGGGUGCCGUGCAGGGAAAUCCGCGCGGCGUGUGCCCGAGACCUGAUGCCGAGCUGUCUUUGGCGAAGUGAGUGAUCCUAUGCUGCCGAGAAAAUCUUCGCGGCGAGGACGUGCGCGGCCUGUACCCGAAACCGACUCAGGUGGUCAGGUAGAGAAUACCGAGGCGAUCGGGCGAACCGCGGUUAAGGAACUAGGCAAAUUGUCCCCGUAACUUCGGGAGAAGGGGAGCCCCUGCCGGUGAAGGACUUCGCGUCCGGAGCCAGUGGGGGCCGCAGAGAAAUGGCCCAAGCGACUGUUUACUAAAAACACAGGUCCCUGCCAAAGCGAAAGCUGAUGUAUAGGGGCUGACGCCUGCCCGGUGCUGGAAGGUUAAGAGGAAGGGUGCAAGCUCUGAAUUGAAGCCCCAGUAAACGGCGGCCGUAACUAUAACGGUCCUAAGGAAGCGAAAUUCCUUGUCGGGUAAGUUCCGACCCGCACGAA
This 2135-nucleotide ribosomal RNA is filed under the name soil metagenome. RNAcentral's name for it is "bacterial LSU rRNA". It matches the Rfam family "Bacterial large subunit ribosomal RNA", at positions 28 to 1996 of the family's 2925-position model. The record is from RNAcentral.